ACCCCGUGAACCUUUACUGUAGCUUUGCAUUGGACUUUGAACAGGCUUGUGUAGGAUAGGUGGGAGGCUUUGAAGCUGAGACGCUAGUUUCAGUGGAGCCGUCCUUGAAAUACCACCCUGGUGUGUUUGAGGUUCUAACCUGGGUCCAUCAUCUGGAUCGGGGACCGUGCAUGGUAGGCAGUUUGACUGGGGCGGUCUCCUCCCAAAGUGUAACGGAGGAGUUCGAAGGUUACCUAGGUACGGUCGGACAUCGUACUGAUAGUGCAAUGGCAAAAGGUAGCUUGACUGCGAGACCGACA
Molecule: ribosomal RNA, 299 nt
Filed under: Laribacter hongkongensis
Lineage: Bacteria; Pseudomonadati; Pseudomonadota; Betaproteobacteria; Neisseriales; Aquaspirillaceae
Description: partial 23S ribosomal RNA
Rfam family: Bacterial large subunit ribosomal RNA
Source: RNAcentral